UAAGUUCCCUGUCUUUACUUGCCCCUGUCCUCCUCUUGGGUGACUUCAGGUUUCAGGUAUGGGGCUUUUGAGGUCUCAUAGCUUUGCUGUGGUUUUGGUGCUGUCUGCUCCUGAUGCCUGGGCCUCAGACAGCUAUGUCACAGCUGCCUACAAGCAGUGUGCACUUGUCAGAGGACAGAGAAAUGUCUGCUUCUCCUGAGGAUGAUGAUGUUGAUGGCAGAAAUAUGGAUAUUUUGGAAGCGGCUGUCAACAAAGCAGCAGUGGCUUACAAGGAGGCUGCGAGAAGAUCUCUUUGGUCCCUCCAGCAGCCUGAAUGGAGGUUGCAGUGAGAAUGGUGUCUCUCUCCUUUCCUCAGUACAGAAAAGACUGAGCUGUGCUGCCUGUGCUGGCAAGGAAUUAUUCCAUCUACGUGGUUGUGAAUAUGGGGAACCAGAAGCCAUGUAAGUUCAGUGAUCCAAGGUAACCAAGAGUGAUGGUUACUACCAGUACAAUACCAACAUUGUCUUUGAUUCCAAAA
Long non-coding RNA from Lagopus leucura (white-tailed ptarmigan), 517 nucleotides. RefSeq lists it as uncharacterized. The record is from RefSeq and is a predicted model, not a curated record. Lineage: Eukaryota; Metazoa; Chordata; Aves; Galliformes; Phasianidae. The transcript has 3 exons.